This 264-nucleotide long non-coding RNA is filed under the name Microcebus murinus (gray mouse lemur). RNAcentral describes it as "lncRNA (ENSMICG00000048833.1)". Lineage: Eukaryota; Metazoa; Chordata; Mammalia; Primates; Cheirogaleidae. The record is from RNAcentral.
GAACACAGAAUGUUCUUGGUGAGAAGGGCCGCCGCAUUCGGGAAUUGACUGCAGUAGUUCAGAAGAGAUUUGGCUUCCCAGAGGGCAGUGUAGAGCUUUAUGCUGAAAAGGUGGCCACGAGAGGUCUGUGUGCUAUUGCCCAGGCAGAAUCUCUGCGUUACAAACUCCUUGGAGGGCUUGCUGUUCGGAGGUGUGCUGGGCAUCAAGGUGAAGAUCAUGCUGCCCUGGGACCCUACUGGUAAGAUUGGCCCUAAGAAACCCUUG